AAAUCUCUCAGAUAGAGGUGCUGG
This 24-nucleotide non-coding RNA is filed under the name Arabidopsis thaliana (thale cress). The record is from RNAcentral. Lineage: Eukaryota; Viridiplantae; Streptophyta; Magnoliopsida; Brassicales; Brassicaceae.